Molecule: small nuclear RNA, 104 nt
Organism: Nannospalax galili (Upper Galilee mountains blind mole rat)
Lineage: Eukaryota; Metazoa; Chordata; Mammalia; Rodentia; Spalacidae
Source: Ensembl
GUGCUUACUUUGGCAGCACAUACACUAAAAUUGGGAUGAUACAGAGAUUAGCACGGCCCGUGCACAGGGAUGACGCAAAAAUUUUUGAAGCCUUCCAUAUUUUU